GUACCUUCAAGCUUUGCUUGGUGUUGGGCGUUUUGUCUGUUCCUCUGGAAGUAGACUCGCCUUAAAGUAAUUGGCAGCCAGUGUUUUUGGUAGUAAGCGCAGCACAUUUUGCGUCUUCGUCUUCAAACAGCGGCAUCCACAGAGCCUCUUUCUCAC
RNAcentral lists this unclassified non-coding RNA (156 nucleotides) under uncultured Stagonospora. RNAcentral describes it as "sequence contains ITS2". Lineage: Eukaryota; Fungi; Ascomycota; Dothideomycetes; Pleosporales; Pleosporaceae. The record is from RNAcentral.